ACGGGUGAGUAACGCGUGGGUGACCUGCCUUCGAGUGGGGGAUAACGUCCCGAAAGGGACGCUAAUACCGCAUGACAUCCUGCCUUUGAACAGGCGGAGAUCAAAGUCGGGGAUCGCAAGACCUGGCGCUUGGAGAGGGGCCCGCGCUCGAUUAGCUAAUUGGUGGGGUAACGGCUCACCAAGGCGACGAUCGAUAGCCGGCCUGAGAGGGCGGACGGCCACACUGGGACUGAGACACGGCCCAGACUCCUACGGGAGGCAGCAGUGGGGAAUUGUUCGCAAUGGGCGCAAGCCUGACGACGCAACGCCGCGUGGAGGAUGAAGAUCUUCGGGUCGUAAACUCCUGUCGACCGGGACGAAACGUUCGGGGGUGAAUAAUCUCCGGACUUGACGGUACCGGUGGAGGAAGCCCCGGCUAACUCCGUGCCAGCAGCCGCGGUAAUACGGGGGGGGCAAGCGUUGUUCGGAAUUACUGGGCGUAAAGGGCUCGUAGGCGGCUGCCUAAGUCGGACGUGAAAUCCCACGGCUCAACCGUGGAACUGCGUCCGGUACUGGGCAGCUUGAAUCCAAGAGAGGGAUGCGGAA
This 585-nucleotide ribosomal RNA is filed under the name uncultured bacterium. Its description in RNAcentral is "bacterial SSU rRNA". It matches the Rfam family "Bacterial small subunit ribosomal RNA", at positions 102 to 666 of the family's 1533-position model. The record is from RNAcentral.